This 497-nucleotide small RNA is filed under the name Arabidopsis thaliana (thale cress). RNAcentral describes it as "ATSL111920". Lineage: Eukaryota; Viridiplantae; Streptophyta; Magnoliopsida; Brassicales; Brassicaceae. The record is from RNAcentral.
CAUCAACGAUCUGAUCUUGUUUAAGAUAUUCUUACGUUUGUUGAGACCGCCGUCGUUUGUGUGGGGCGAAGACGCCAUCGGAGAUACGGAGGUUGUUGAAGAAGAAGACGAGUGAAGAAGCUCCAAUGAGCUUUUGUAAUUUUGAUAUCAAAUUUAUCACAAUUGUUGUUGAUUGUUUGAAGAAUCGGGUGAAGAAGAAGAUGAUACCGGUUUAGAAUCAAACUUAAUGGUUUAUAUAUUCGGUUUACUUUGGGUUUAAAGCACAAACCGAUAUAACCCAGAUUUAGGGACAUUAAGCUAUAGAACUUUCAAUUCAGAGGGAAAUAAGAAGACAACUUUGAUUUCAUGGAUAUAUAGACCAGAGUUAAAGAAUGGGCUCUAUCUAGUAUGAUGUGAUAGUUCUCGUGUGGAAAUAGACCGUUUUUUAUAAAGUUAUCCUCAUAUUUGGAUUGGGUUGUAUUAGGAUUUUAGUCAUUCUUAAUCAAUAUAUAUAUCUC